GAUGAAGAACGCAGCGAAAUGCGAUAAGUAAUGUGAAUUGCAGAAUUCAGUGAAUCAUCGAAUCUUUGAACGCACAUUGCGCCCCUUGGUAUUCCGAGGGGCAUGCCUGUUCGAGCGUCAUUAUAACCCCUCAAGCUCAGCUUGGUGUUGGGGCCUGCUGCACUGGCAGCCCUUAAAAUCAGUGGCGGCGCCAUCUGGCUCUAAGCGUAGUAAUUCUUCUCGCUAUGGAGUCCUGGUGGAUGCUUGCCAUCAACCCCCAAUUUUUCUAUGGUUGCCCUCGGAUCAGGUAGGGAUACCCGCUGAACUUAAGCAUAUCAAUAAGCGGAGGA
This 329-nucleotide unclassified non-coding RNA is filed under the name soil metagenome. RNAcentral's name for it is "partial contains 5.8S ribosomal RNA, internal transcribed spacer 2, and large subunit ribosomal RNA". The stretch from base 1 to 120 matches the Rfam family "5.8S ribosomal RNA", at positions 35 to 154 of the family's 154-position model. The record is from RNAcentral.